This 448-nucleotide ribosomal RNA is filed under the name uncultured organism. RNAcentral's name for it is "partial 16S ribosomal RNA". It matches the Rfam family "Bacterial small subunit ribosomal RNA", at positions 335 to 799 of the family's 1533-position model. The record is from RNAcentral.
ACUCCUACGGGAGGCAGCAGUGGGGAAUAUUGGACAAUGGGCGCAAGCCUGAUCCAGCCAUGCCGCGUGAGUGAUGAAGGCCCUAGGGUUGUAAAGCUCUUUCACCGGAGAAGAUAAUGACGGUAUCCGGAGAAGAAGCCCCGGCUAACUUCGUGCCAGCAGCCGCGGUAAUACGAAGGGGGCUAGCGUUGUUCGGAAUUACUGGGCGUAAAGCGCACGUAGGCGGAUCGAUCAGUCAGGGGUGAAAUCCCAGGGCUCAACCCUGGAACUGCCUUUGAUACUGUCGAUCUGGAGUAUGGAAGAGGUGAGUGGAAUUCCGAGUGUAGAGGUGAAAUUCGUAGAUAUUCGGAGGAACACCAGUGGCGAAGGCGGCUCACUGGUCCAUUACUGACGCUGAGGUGCGAAAGCGUGGGGAGCAAACAGGAUUAGAUACCCUUGUAGUCCCAUG